Molecule: long non-coding RNA, 4074 nt
Filed under: Homo sapiens (human)
Lineage: Eukaryota; Metazoa; Chordata; Mammalia; Primates; Hominidae
Description: HSALNT0385205
Source: RNAcentral
CAGUGUCUCCGGCGUGUCCUGCAUCUCGGCAGCCAGCUCCUCUGCAGCUCAGGCCCCGUGAGUCACAGCCGCUUCCUCAAAUGCUUUGGCUGACCGCAUCCCCCCGCUCCGCCAGAACCCUGGAUGCCGGAGCCCUCCCAGCGAGAGCCGUGUUUAUUUUACUUUACAUACAUUUUCCAACCCGGAGCGGCUUCAACACAUGCAGCUCUUAGGCCCGGGCCGCACAUCUCAGAAGCCCCGUGUGCGACUUUGACUGCCGCACGAUCCUCUGCCGGGGGAGGUGGGCCCGCUGCGCUUUGGGAGCACCCGCGCCCGACACUGAGGUCUCGGUGCUGUCUUCGGCCUCUUCGCCCCUGAGGGUCCCCUCUGGGAGCAGAGGCGGUCGGAAAACCCUGGGGCUGAAGUGCAGGCUUCGGGAGGACGCGACCUGCCAAGAUCAGCUCCCGGCACGUGAUGGGAGCCUGGCUCACCUUCCCCCAGCACACGAUGGGGCUGCAGCCUCCCCGGUCAGCCUGGCCUGCUGGAAAGGAGCAGCUCUGUCUCCAGAGGCUUCUGGCGAAGCCCAUGGCCUCCCAAUGUUGGCUGAUUUAUAAGGAAAGAGGGGAAAGGCCAAGUGUGGAUGCCAUUAGCAUAACCUAAUCCAGACCCCAUGACAAGUCCAGGAUCCUGCAGGGAGAGGGCAUCCUUGAACGUGAAGGACUGGGUUUGGAAACUUGGCCUCCCGGAAGAAAGGUCUCCGGGCCCACCCACACCCCCCUUGUGGACGCCCCCGCAGUCUAAUACACUCCACAGUAAGACGGACCAGGAACAGCAGCAGCCUCCGGUGUCGGCCCAGUGAUCCGGGAGCUCAGAGUUUUUGCUAAAAUAGCCUUCUCAUUGGCUGCGGCUUUGGAGGUGGCAGAAAUCAUACGUUUAAUCACGGCGCCCUCCUGCUUGCCAAGGUUAGCAGGGGCUGUACUGCUGUGCCCUCCUGUCCCUGGAGGCUCUGGUGGCCCCACUCCCCACACUGCCAGGCUGGGUGCCACGCUGCCGUGACCCCGGAAUUCAGCCUGUGGUGAUCGGUCUUCCCUAGCACGGAGCUGAGUUAGGGGCUCUAGAAUCAGUCCCAGCCACGUGAGGCUCUCCCUGGGAUGUGAGGGUCGUCUCGUCUGUUUACACGGGGGCCACAGUGCAGAUCCCAGCCCGGGCAGGGGAGGGGCAAAUCUAUGCCCACUUCAAGCUUCCACUUCUGCCCGCCUCAAAGUGCCGGAGACUCCGGCACCUCUGCGUUCCUCCUUCCCGGUAGGAACAGAAAGCUGGGAAAGGGCUGGGGUGGCAAGGAAGAGCCCCAGGAAGACGGGAGUGGCUCUCCCCACUCCCUAGAGGACCUCCCUCCCCCAAGCCCAUGGGCCGCCUUCUCCAGGGACUCUUCCCUGUCCCACCCACCGGGCAAGGUGGGCCCAGCAGGGUCUCCUUUUCACCGUGCGCCCCCUCCUGUGGCCGGGUCCUGGGCUAAUGACCUCACAUGCUGCUUUUACAAGUCAGGUUUAUUGCGGUAUCACGUACACACAUAAGGCUCACCCGUUUUCGAUGUACAGCCGACGACUUGGUAAGGGUCUAGAGUGGGGCACUUCUGCCCCGACAGAGGCAGCCCACAUUUUGCCCCUCUGCAGUCAGGCCCCUUCCCGGCCCCCAACCACCACCUGUCUCUCCUCGCUCCUACAGCUUUGCGUCCUCCAGAAUUGUCCUGUGAGUGACUCCCGCAGGAUGGAGACUUUUGUGUCUGGCUUCCUUCACUUCGCAGCAGGCUUCGCGGGACCCGUGUGGUGGCACCAGCGUCCAGCCCUUGAAACCCAUGAAAGAGGAUCCUGAAAGAGCAAGGGCAGCCUCCAGGUGAAGGUGGUGGGCGGCCUCCAGGUGAAGGCGGCCUCCAGGUGAAGGUGGUCAGCACCCUACCUUUGGCCAAGAGCAGACUGCAGUUUCAACUCAAAGAUUAUUCCUGAAUGAGUGAGUGACUGCAUCUCUCUUCUCCUCACCCCUGCUGUGGUUGUGUCUCCUCUUCAAGAAAAACCAAUAUGUGGAAAGGCCUAAGUCUGCACAAAACAAAUAUUUAUUUUACAAAAUAUUGUUUUUUGCUUUUCCAGUGCAGCAAGCUUAAACUUCCUUAAAAACAAACCUCUGGGAAGAGGAAAAUGAGGCAAGAUGCUGAGAAAAAGUCAUCUCCCACUCUGCCCUUCUCUGGCAAAUCGAAGUGUCCUCUUGUGGGAGGCGGUGGGCAGCGACACUCCCGUUGGACGUCAGUGCUCUCGGGCCCGGCCACCCCGGAGCAGAACUCACUUAGGGCCUGGUGCCCCUGUGCCCAGUUCUCAGAAUGUCGGAGUGCUCAGUUCUCAGAACGCCGGAGUGCCCCAUUCAUAACCUGCAGCCCCGUUCAUAGCCUGCAGCUCCCCUCCUUCCUCUCCUCCUGGUCUUCAGGGAGCACCCCCAGCUCCCCUCCCCACUCUCAAACCCUCCUCCUCCCUCCCCUCUCUCAGUUCCCUGUUUGCAGGAUCUCCUCCUGCCCACUCUCCAGCCCAGGUCCUCCCCUCUCAUCUCCAAUUCUGCUUCACGGGCCAUGACAGCAGGCAGGCCAUGGCCUGCUCUCAGCAGUUUGAUCGAUGGACUAAGGAGAUCACUCCUACGAGAGUGAAAAAGUCAAGUGUGCCUGAGAUUCGGAUGGGGAGCUCUCAAAGCUAUGGAUUGCAAGAGUCAACACCGCCUCAAAAGUACAAGGCCGGCCGGGUGCAGUGGCUCACACCUUUAAUCCCAGCACUUUGGGAGACUGAGGUGGGUGGAUCACCUGAGGUCAGGAGCUCAAGACCAGCCUGACCAACAUGGUGAAAUCCCGUCUCUAUUAAAAAUACAAAAAAAAUUAGCCAGGUGUGGUGGUGCAUGCUUGUAGAUCCAGCUACUCGGGAGGCUGAGGCAGGGGGAGCACUUGAACCCGGGAGGUGGAGGUUGCAGUGAGCCGAGAUUGCGCCAUUGCACUCCAGCCUGGGCAACAGAGUGAGACCCUGCCUCAAAAAGAUAAAAAAAUAAAAGUACGAGGCCCGGUUUAAAUGCAGGAGGAAUCUGGUGAGCGAGUUUCACUCUGAUGCAACAGAAAAGCCAAGCCAAGCCUUGGCUGUGCCUGAUCUUGGCCGGGGAGCCACAGGCAGGGUCUGCUGGUUUCGGUGUCAGGGGCACAUCGCCAGGACCACGUGUGAGAUGGGAAGUGCCUUGAUGGAAAACUGAUACCUUUUUCUUUCCGAGUAACUUUAGAAUAUGUCGCUUCAAAUAUAACUAAUAUCCUGAUUUCAAUGGACUUGCAUGGAAGGAAACGCAAGUUCAUUUGCCAGUGGGGGGUGAGGACUGGGAGAGUGGGGAGCAGGGUGGGGAAGAGGGGACCAUUCCACAAGCUGCAAGAGCCUGGACACCUCCAGCCUUCAAUAAAUAGCAUUUGAAUUUGCUGUGCCUAAUUCAACCUUGCAUUUGUGUAGUGAAAGUCAGGCCCACGGUGUGUAUAGUUUGGCACAUGAGUUCAGCUCGGGUCCCCUUGAUCUGCUUCUAUGUUCUCACUCUCUCCCUGCCCGGCAUGCCCCUCUUUUUCUAUCCAGAUGAGCGAAGGGGUGAAUUAGUCCAGAAAUGUUUCUGCUCCAGUCAAACAAACAUUAUCACCUGUCAGUCAAACAUUAUCACCUGUCAGUCACCAGAGACGUGCACAGGUGCCUUCUCCUUUGCCUCGAGGUUUCUAUGACCUGGGAAAAGCCCAUCCCAUUCCCGGAUGAGGCUUCCCUGCGACCGGCCACAGACACACGAGCUACGCCCCGCCUUGCCAAAACUUUCAAGGUGGGAUGGAAGAAUCUGUCGUUUCUGCAUUUACGACCCCGUACGUGUUCCGUGCUGCAUCUGUUCUGGUUGGGUUGUCUCUCCUCUCAAGGCCUCUUUUGACCCAAACUUACUGCAAAGCAGAUGAGUGAGCCAGAAGCUGCGCUGGGCGUUGGGGGUUGUGGCAGAGGCUGGGGCUGUAUGUGGGCCGGCAGGCCACGGGCCGACCCACCGCAGGCAGCUUAGCAA